UACAGAGGUGGCAAGCGUUGUUCGGAAUUACUGGGCGUAAAGGGCGCGUAGGCGGCCUUCUAAGUCAGACGUGAAAUCCCCCGGCUUAACCUGGGAACUGCGUCUGAUACUGGGAGGCUUGAGUAUGGGAGAGGGAUGUAGAAUUCCAGGUGUAGCGGUGAAAUGCGUAGAUAUCUGGAGGAAUACCGGUGGCGAGGGCGGCAUCCUGGACCAUUACUGACGCUGAGGCGCGAAAGCUAGGGGAGCAAACGGG
Molecule: ribosomal RNA, 253 nt
Filed under: uncultured bacterium
Lineage: Bacteria
Description: partial 16S ribosomal RNA
Rfam family: Bacterial small subunit ribosomal RNA
Source: RNAcentral